This 492-nucleotide ribosomal RNA is filed under the name uncultured bacterium. Its description in RNAcentral is "partial 16S ribosomal RNA". It matches the Rfam family "Bacterial small subunit ribosomal RNA", at positions 29 to 507 of the family's 1533-position model. The record is from RNAcentral.
AGUGAACGCUGGCGGUAGGCUUAACACAUGCAAGUCGAACGGCAGCACAGUAAGAGCUUGCUCUUACGGGUGGCGAGUGGCGGACGGGUGAGGAAUACAUCGGAAUCUACUUUUUCGUGGGGGAUAAAGUAGGGAAACUUACGCUAAUACCGCAUACGACCAACGGGUGAAAGCAGGGGAUCUUCGGACCUUGCGCGAUUGAAUGAGCCGAUGUCGGAUUAGCUAGUUGGCGGGGUAAAGGCCCACCAAGGCGACGAUCCGUAGCUGGUCUGAGCGGAUGAUCAGCCACACUGGAACGGAGACACGGUCCAGACUCCUACGGGAGGCAGCAGUCGGGAAGAUUGGACAAGGGGCGCAAGCCUGAUCCAGCCAUACCGCGUGGGUGAAGAAGGCCUUCGGGUUGUAAAGCCCUUUUGUUGGGAAAGAAAAGCAGCAGGUUAAUACCCCGCUGUUCUGACGGUACCCAAAGAAUAAGCACCGGCUAACUUCGUG